RNAcentral lists this transfer RNA (85 nucleotides) under Flammeovirgaceae bacterium. RNAcentral's name for it is "tRNA-Ile". It matches the Rfam family "tRNA". From Rfam's summary of the family: Transfer RNA (tRNA) molecules are approximately 80 nucleotides in length. Their secondary structure includes four short double-helical elements and three loops (D, anti-codon, and T loops). The record is from RNAcentral. Lineage: Bacteria; Pseudomonadati; Bacteroidota; Cytophagia; Cytophagales; Flammeovirgaceae.
GGGCUGGUGGCUGACUGGGAAGCGCCUCGCUUAUAACGGGGUUGAGCUUUAUGCUCGAAUGCAGGUUCGAAUCCUGUCCGGCCCA